CAGUCGACGGCAGCGCGGGGCAACCUGGCGGCGAGUGGCGAACGGGUGAGUAAUAUAUCGGAACGUGCCCUGGAGUGGGGGAUAACGCAGCGAAAGUUGCGCUAAUACCGCAUACGAUCUAAGGAUGAAAGCAGGGGACCGCAAGGCCUUGUGCUCCUGGAGCGGCCGAUAUCUGAUUAGCUAGUUGGUGGGGUAAAGGCCUACCAAGGCAUCGAUCAGUAGCUGGUCUGAGAGGACGACCAGCCACACUGGAACUGAGACACGGUCCAGACUCCUACGGGAGGCAGCAGUGGGGAAUUUUGGACAAUGGGGGCAACCCUGAUCCAGCAAUGCCGCGUGAGUGAAGAAGGCCUUCGGGUUGUAAAGCUCUUUUGUCAGGGAAGAAACGGUGUGGGCUAAUAUCCUGCACUAAUGACGGUACCUGAAGAAUAAGCACCGGCUAACUACGUGCCAGCAGCCGCGGUAAUACGUAGGGUGCAAGCGUUAAUCGGAAUUACUGGGCGUAAAGCGUGCGCAGGCGGUUUUGUAAGUCUGUCGUGAAAUCCCCGGGCUCAACCUGGGAAUUGCGAUGGAGACUGCAAGGCUAGAAUCUGGCAGAGGGGGGUAGAAUUCCACGUGUAGCAGUGAAAUGCGUAGAGAUGUGGAGGAACACCGAUGGCGAAGGCAGCCCCCUGGGUCAAGAUUGACGCUCAUGCACGAAAGCGUGGGG
Molecule: ribosomal RNA, 709 nt
Filed under: uncultured bacterium
Lineage: Bacteria
Description: bacterial SSU rRNA
Rfam family: Bacterial small subunit ribosomal RNA
Source: RNAcentral